Molecule: long non-coding RNA, 760 nt
Organism: Pongo pygmaeus (Bornean orangutan)
Lineage: Eukaryota; Metazoa; Chordata; Mammalia; Primates; Hominidae
Exons: 5
Source: RefSeq, a predicted model, not a curated record
UACUUAGGGUGGAGGCGGCCCGCAGGCAGUAGGGAGAGACCCUCUGUGGGCAGAGUCUUGUGCUGGAACCGCCAUUCCUCAGCCACAGGGGCGCCCGGUGUCUUUCUGCUUUAAAUCCUGAAACUAUUGACGCCCCAGGCGGAGACCAGUGUCUACAAACCAGGCGGUCCUUGCUGAGAAUGUGACUUUCGAUUUCUCAGGGAGAGGACUUCACAGCUAUCUUUGUGGAUCUGCCCCUCCAAAAAUUUUAAAGAUAAAAAUCGCUAUCUACUCGAAACUGUCUGCUCUCAACCGUAAACCGGCUCCGUGGGAUCUCAGCCUCCUAGGACGUAGAAAGCUUCCUCCAAAUCUCCCUGGGGGUCACGUUGGCACAAAUACCUUCAAACCGUCUAAGAACGAAAAAGACCUUUCUCACUUAGAAAGAAACGUUUACUGCAGUCUUGUUUAAGUAACAUGUUUAAGUAACGUCUUAUGCGGCCUUCGCCGCGUCCAGCCUGGAGGUCUGGGCCUUCGGUCCGCACUGGGAGAGCGAUCCCCAAGGUUCCGCUAGACCUUCGCUGCGUCAGCAGACGGCCAGGGCUGCUCAGGAAAAUGCACCCCUGGGCUUGUGAAAGGGAAGCUACUCUGUGCCCUGCUCCAACUGUCUCAAGAGAACCAGAACAGAGCUGGAGGUGACCAUGAGGCCUGGGCCCCAGGCAUCCCUAAGAGCAGAUGGGGGCUCCCAGACCAGGAACACCCACCCCCAUUGCACCACACACAG